This is a non-coding RNA of Doryrhamphus excisus (bluestripe pipefish), 1873 nucleotides long. Lineage: Eukaryota; Metazoa; Chordata; Actinopteri; Syngnathiformes; Syngnathidae. The record is from RefSeq and is a predicted model, not a curated record.
UUACAAAGUCAGAAAGGUCAAGAAUAUUUAUAAACUUUAUGGAAUACAUUUGAUGGAAGGCUUCGAUGUUCGAUGUUAGCAUCAGUUUGUCAUUAGUAACUGCCGUUGUAGCAUAUGAACCCGGAAAUGCUGCAAGUCAGGACUAGCUUCCUGUUUACAUUGGCGCCUCCUACAAACAACCAAUCAUAGACCUUCUUCUUCAUUAUAAUUUGCGCGCCAUCAUAGUACUUCUUACACCCAUUGGCUGCCGAAACAACGAAAACUGAGCAGCGACGCUGUUUACUGUAAAGUUCUCUACAGUUCCACACUGAGCCAACAGGCCAUCCAACAUCUGCCAUCGAGUCGAGAAAAACAACAGAAAGGAAGAUUCAUUUUUGGUCACAGGACAACAUCGAAAUUCCUCAACUUCAGCUUGAACUUGUACCAAAAGUGACAAGGAGAGAAAGGAGCGGGAAACGGGAACUCACUUCCCACUGGAGAUGCGGUGGAAUGUUUCUGAUCUGCAGUCUUCUGGUCCUGUUGACAGAAAAGAGAGGAAAGAUGUUAGCAUUUUUACUGUUCUGACCAAUAGGGUCAUAGCCAUUUUCAAGCUAAAAGACAGAUAGUCAUAUUUUCUUUUCGGCAAAUGAGUGAACGAAAUGUAGUAAGAAGAGUUGCUGAUGUAAGAUGUGACACCUAAUCAAACAUUUCAUAUCAACAUUCAUGUCAAAAAAAGCAUACACAUUUGGAAAGGCGCUACGACCUUCAUGAGUAUUUGCUUUGACUGAUCGAAAAAAAGGAAAUGUCUAUGGCAGGGGUGUCCUAACUUUUUCUACUUGAUCUACUGUAUACAUCUUUAUAUCGUACACGCAGGUAGUUUAUCAUAUUUAUAUAUGCUACUAUAUGUAUGUAUGUACUGCAUAUACUUUAUCAUCCUUACAUGGUACAUCUGUCAUGUUUAUAUAGCAUAUGCAUAUAUCAUAUCAUGUUUUUAUGGUACUGUAUAAUAUUUAUAUAACAUGUAUAGUUUAUACAUAGUGUAUGUAUUUAGUAUAUCAUGUUUAUGAAGUAUAUCUAUACCUUAUAGUUUAUUAUGCUUGUACUUUAUGUUUAUACAUGUAUAUAGUUUGUCAUCUUUAUGUAGUAUAUGUACAUAGUUUAUCAUGUAGUAGUAUAUGUAUAUAUUUUAGCAUGUUUACAUAGGAUAUGUAUUUAGUUGAUAUAGUUGUGCCCUGUGAUUGGCUGACCACCAGUCCAGGGUAUACCCCGCUUCUCGCCCAAAGACAGCUGGGAUAGGCUCCAGCACCUCCGUGACCCUCGUGAGGAUAAGCAGUAGAAAAUGAAUGGAUGUUUAUAUAGUUUAUCAUGAUUAUGUGGUAUAUGUAUGUAGUUUAUUAUGUUUGUAUUGUACAAUCUUUAUAUAGUUUAUCAUGUUUACAUGGUAUAUGUACUUUAUUAGUUUGUAUUGUAAAAUGUUUAAAUUGUUUCUGUAUAUCGUUUAUCUACCUUGGUUAACUGAAGAGUGUAAAUUGUCCAUAAGUAUGACCAUGUUUGUCUAUAUGUGUCCUGUGAUUGGCAAAUAAAAUGACAAAUGGAUAAUAUAGAUAUAUAGAUAGCUAGAUACAGAAACAAUAAAACAGAUCUAGACACAUACGUAGAACUAGACACAUAGAAUCAAACAUAGAUAUAGACACAUAAAAUGACACAUAGCUCCUGGCACACAUGCAACCAGACACAUAUGAUUAAACAUAGAUCUAGAUGCAUAGAGUGACACAUGACUCUAGAUAUAUGGAAUGGCACGUAGAACUAGACACAUAGAAUCAAACAUAGACAUAGACACAUAGAAUGACACAUAACGCCUGACACACAUGCAACCAGACACAGUUGAUUAAAC